UAAGACGUACGUCCCUUGAUGAGCCACAAAUUUUGUAAAGUGGGUGCCCAUGUUAUGCUUCUUUUUGUCUUUUCUUAUUGGAGUUUGUGAUUUGGUAACAUGAUUAGAUGCAUUUUCAGCUUCUUUAUAUUUUGUUCAUUAAAGUUGAUCUGCUUUGUAUGUUAUUAUCAUCAUUGCAGGCACCAAACUGAGUGGGUUUUGAUGUGCUUUUAGUGACAUUAAAUCAAAUUAUGAGUGAAUUAGUUUGUGUAACACCCUAACCUUUAUUUGUGCAUUGUAUAUAGCAAAUUCGUAAAUACUACACAGUUUCCAAGUGUCGGUUCCAUGUUAGAACUAGUGUGGGGGCGGAAAUGUUAAGACGUAUAUAGAUUAACAUAAACGUUGGAUUUUUUUCAUGAACGUGGAGUCUCAGUCAACCAAAUACUUUGCCUACUUAUUCACCACAAAAUACCACAGAUUGCAGUUGCUAGUGGACAAAGAUGAACGAUUUUGUUCAAAAACAAAGACUGGGAAUUCCGUAAAACAGGAAACACCCUUUGAAACAAAAAAGAGGAGGAGCCCAUAGAUUAGAGAGGGUGAUAGGGUUGUAUUGAAAUCAAAGACCACAUCAUUUGAUGUGAUCAAAAUCGUGAAGGUGGAAUUUUAUCACAACAGUGAUGUGUUGUUUGAAGACAGUGGACACCAUCAGGAGUUGGGUGAGGAUACUUUUUUUCUUUCAGGACACUGCAACAAUAAUUUGUUCAACCUUUGUCUUUGUCUCUCCCCUUUUCUCUUGUGUCUUGUUGUAUUUCUGUUGGGGAAAAGGAUAAUUUAGGUUUAAAAAGAUUCUGAAAAUUUUAAUUAUCUGCAUUACAGUGUAAAUAUUGUGAGAAGAUAAAAUCUCUAACCUCAUGUUAAAUUAUUCUUAAUGAUUUAUAAAUAUGUUAUAAAAACAAUUUAAAAAAAAAAGAAAGAAAGAAGAGAGUAUUUAAUUGGAACUACACUUUUAAUAAUUUUAGAAUUUAUAAAUUUAUCAUAAAUGCACCUUUAAAAUACACUAAAAAAUAUAGGAUAUACUCGAAAUUUUUUUGCAGAAAAUAGAUGAACUUCAAAACCGACUUUUGCAUUGAUUUUAUGAUAGAUCUGUCGUGGGCUCACUGACAGCUCUGCAAGUAUGUAGAUGGCGAGCACAGGCUGGACAUGGAGUACCCUACCAAUACCAUGGGCAUUGAGC
RNAcentral lists this long non-coding RNA (1213 nucleotides) under Gossypium barbadense (sea-island cotton). Its description in RNAcentral is "long non-coding RNA (GBAR_LNC007607)". Lineage: Eukaryota; Viridiplantae; Streptophyta; Magnoliopsida; Malvales; Malvaceae. The record is from RNAcentral.